RNAcentral lists this ribosomal RNA (301 nucleotides) under uncultured bacterium. Its description in RNAcentral is "partial 16S ribosomal RNA". It matches the Rfam family "Bacterial small subunit ribosomal RNA", at positions 509 to 807 of the family's 1533-position model. The record is from RNAcentral.
CAGCCGCCGCGGUAAUACGAAGGGUGCAAGCGUUACUCGGAAUUACUGGGCGUAAAGCGUGCGUAGGCGGUUGGUUAAGUCUGCUGUGAAAGCCCUGGGCUCAACCUGGGAACUGCAGUGGAAACUGGCCAGCUAGAGUGUGUCAGAGGAUGGUGGAAUUCCCGGUGUAGCGGUGAAAUGCGUAGAGAUCGGGAGGAACACCAGUGGCGAAGGCGGCCAUCUGGGACAACACUGACGCUGAGGCACGAAAGCGUGGGGAGCAAACAGGAUUAGAUACCCCCGUAGUCCCUGUCUCUUAUAC